This is a non-coding RNA of Pelobates cultripes (western spadefoot toad), 220 nucleotides long. The record is from the annotation of a GenBank genome assembly. NCBI's taxonomy places the organism in Eukaryota, Metazoa, Chordata, Amphibia, Anura, Pelobatidae.
GACAGCACUUCCAAGCUAAUGAGAGAAAAUACAGCGUAAACAAUUUCAUGGCAAUUAAUAACAGCGUAAGUUUUAGUUAAAGAGACAGGCUAAACGUUGUCACUACAACCUUGAGAACAAUGCGGGCGUAAUGUGCUGUAGUAGAGAAAGGGAUUGUUCCCAUGGUAAGGAAAAUUCCCCUGGGUGUGAGCGUCAGAUCAGGAAAAGCCAGACAGUAAUU